This is a non-coding RNA of Acanthosepion pharaonis, 107 nucleotides long. NCBI's taxonomy places the organism in Eukaryota, Metazoa, Mollusca, Cephalopoda, Sepiida, Sepiidae. The record is from the annotation of a GenBank genome assembly.
UUACGGUCAUAUCACGUUGAAACACCUGUUACCGUACGAAGACCGAAGUUAAGCAAUAUCGAGCCUUCUCAGCAACUAGAUGGGUGACCGCUUGGGAAUACCAGAUG